UACACAUGUAAAUAAGUAUAUAUAUAUACAUACGUAUACAUACAUAUAUGGGGAGAGAGAGAAACAAAUCGAAAAAGAUUUAUAAAAAUUUGCUUAUGCACGUAUAUUCAGUGUCAUGCACUAUAUUAAAAACGUUAUAAAUCGAAAAAAAACUAAAAAAAAAAAACUAAAACAUUUCUCUUUCAUUUAACAUAUCUGUGACUAAAUACAUGUGUCACGAAUAAACUAUUAACAUGUUUUGAAAUAAUUUCCCCAACGAAAUAUAAUUAUAAGAUGUGUUGUAUCUGAUGAACUUAAUCUAUUUCAUGUAUAACAACGGGUGGUUUAACGUAAAUAAAUAAAAUAAAAUAAAAUAAAAUAAAAAAAAUUAAGUAAAUUAAGCUAAACACAAUAAUAAUGCAUAAAGAAUAAAAUAUAAAUAUAAUGAUUAUUUCAAAUGCAAUUUAAGCCAUUUUUUUUUUUUUUUUCUUUUUUGUGUUGGAAUUUUUACCUUUUAAUGGCAUUUUAGUAUGGUACACAUUUUUUUUUUUUUAAUAUUAAAAUUAAUCUUCAAAUAUGCUUAAAGGUAUGUGUUUAAAAAAGAUAUAGGUUGUAUUGCAUUUUUAAUAAUGCAUAAAAAUAUAUACAUAUAUAUAUAUUCUGCUUUUUUAACAAAAAAUUGAAAAAAUAAUUGCUUUUUUUUUAUUAUAUGUUUGUAUUGAAGUAAAUUAACAUAAACGAUGAUACUUACAACGAAUUGAUGUGAUUGAUUAAUAAUAUUUAAAUUAAAAAAAAAUAACAAGGAUAUAAAAAGUUAAUUCAGUAAUAAAUUUUAAAGAACAAAACUGGGGAUUAAUUGGAAUAUGUUGUCAUAAUAAAAUGAUAAUAAAAAUUUAAUUAAAAACAAAGAUGAUUAAAAAAAAAAAAAAAAAAAAAAAAAAAAAAAAAAAAAAAAAAAAAAGUCAAAAUCAAAAUCAAAAUCAAAAUCAAAUCCCAAAUCAAGGACAGAUCACACCAAAUGAAUAAGUUUACGAGUAUGUAAUAACAUGUUAGGUCGGUUGCGUUUAUAUGGUAUAAAAUAUAAAUACAUACAAAUAUAUAUAUAUAUAUAUAUAUAUAUAUAUAUAUAUGUGCUUAAAUAAACAAGGGCGCAUAAAUAAACA
Molecule: long non-coding RNA, 1142 nt
Filed under: Piliocolobus tephrosceles (Ugandan red Colobus)
Lineage: Eukaryota; Metazoa; Chordata; Mammalia; Primates; Cercopithecidae
Description: lncRNA (ENSPTEG00000001384.1)
Source: RNAcentral